AUACGUAGGGGGUAAGCGUUGUCCGGAAUUACUGGGCGUAAAGAGCUCGUAGGCGGCUCAGCAAGUCGGUCGUGAAAGCCCGAGGCUCAACCUCGGAACUGCGGUCGAUACUGCUGUGGCUAGAGUCCGGUAGAGGAGAGUGGAAUUCCCGGUGUAGCGGUGGAAUGCGCAGAUAUCGGGAGGAACACCAGUGGCGAAGGCGGCUCUCUGGGCCGGUACUGACGCUGAGGAGCGAAAGCGUGGGGAGCAAACAGGAUUAGAUACCCUAGUAGUCC
RNAcentral lists this ribosomal RNA (275 nucleotides) under uncultured bacterium. RNAcentral's name for it is "partial 16S ribosomal RNA". It matches the Rfam family "Bacterial small subunit ribosomal RNA", at positions 523 to 796 of the family's 1533-position model. The record is from RNAcentral.